AUUGAACGCUGGCGGCAGGCCUAACACAUGCAAGUCGAGCGGAUGAAGGGAGCUUGCUCCUGGAUUCAGCGGCGGACGGGUGAGUAAUGCCUAGGAAUCUGCCUGGUAGUGGGGGAUAACGUCCGGAAACGGGCGCUAAUACCGCAUACGUCCUGAGGGAGAAAGUGGGGGAUCUUCGGGCCUCACGCUAUCAGAUAAGCCUAGGUCGGAUUAGCUAGUUGGUGGGGUAAAGGCCUACCAAGGCGACGAUCCGUAACUGGUCUGAGAGGAUGAUCAGUCACACUGGAACUGAGACACGGUCCAGACUCCUACGGGAGGCAGCAGUGGGGAAUAUUGGACAAUGGGCGAAAGCCUGAUCCAGCCAUGCCGCGUGUGUGAAGAAGGUCUUCGGAUUGUAAAGCACUUUAAGUUGGGAGGAAGGGCAGUAAGUUAAUACCUUGCUGUUUUGACGUUACCAACAGAAUAAGCACCGGCUAACUUCGUG
This 484-nucleotide ribosomal RNA is filed under the name uncultured bacterium. RNAcentral describes it as "partial 16S ribosomal RNA". It matches the Rfam family "Bacterial small subunit ribosomal RNA", at positions 30 to 507 of the family's 1533-position model. The record is from RNAcentral.